CAGUGUGAGCAGAUGGUGCUAUCGGUGGAGACAAGAUUGCUAGGUACGUAGCUGUGCACACUUUCUUUCUUUUUUAGGUACGAGGUGACACGCCAACUCUGCUUACGCUAUGGAUAUGAGGAUAACUAUAUAUGACCUCCAGUGCAACUCAUCGAGGAACCGGCCAAAAUCUACCCGUUUUGGAUGACUUCCGGAGAAGCCUCAAACUAACACUUCACGUUUCCCCCAAUGUAUCACAUGAUUUCCGGAGAAACCUCAAAAUUUUGGAUUUACCGUCCAUGGUGGCUGCAGGAUGUGUUUGAGAAUCCAUAAGACAAUCAUGAGCAUCAGGAUGUUGGUGGCAGGCACCAGUCCUAGUAGGCCAGAGGAGUUGUAUCUUAGUCUCUGGUGUUUCUGUGUUCCAUGUCUGUUGCAAGGAGCACAAUAGAGAAUUGUUCCAAACAAAUAAAAAAAAGGAAAGAGAACCCACUAAACUUUUUUGUGUACUUAGGACGUUCUUAAAUGAAUGUACUUUAAUAUCCCUGUUGGAAGCAACUGAUCAGUUGGAUAUGAUUACAAUCAGUGGAGCUGUACCUGCAACAUGUGGAAGGUGUCACAAGUUUAUUAUUGAACUGCUAUUAAGGACACUGUUAGCCUUCUCUAAGUUUUUUACUUAUUUUUCAUUCAAACUUCUGUUGAUUUUUUUUUCUUUGGGACGACGAUGUUUAACUUUACAUGCGAUAAGUACAAAGAAGUAGGUAACAGUGAGCAUUGUUGAUGGUUUGC
Molecule: long non-coding RNA, 765 nt
Filed under: Brachypodium distachyon (stiff brome)
Lineage: Eukaryota; Viridiplantae; Streptophyta; Magnoliopsida; Poales; Poaceae
Description: long non-coding RNA (BDIS_LNC003251)
Source: RNAcentral